AUCUGGUUGGCUUCGGUGAAANCGGAUCAAGGUGGUCUCUUUAUAAAAGCUAACGUUUGGAGAUGAGCUCGCGUUACAUUAGCUAGUUGGUGAGGGUAAGGCUCACAAGGGCGACGAUGGUUAGCUGGUCUGAGAGGAUGAUCAGNCACACCGGAACUGGAGGACGGUCCGGACUCCUACNGGAGGCAGCAGUGAGGAAUUUUGCGCAAUGGGGGAAACCCUGACGCAGCAACGCCGCGUGAGUGAUGAAGGCUUUCGGGUCGUAAAGCUCUGUCAGGUGGGAAGAACCCACCAAGUGUUAAGACCACUUGGUGCUGACGGUACCACCGAAGGAAGCACCGGCUAACUCCGUGCCAGCAGCCGCGGUAAUACGGGGGGUGCGAGCGUUAUUCGGAAUCAUUGGGCGUAAAGGGCGCGCAGGCGGUUUUGUAAGUCAGAUGUGAAAUCCCGGGGCUUAACCCCGGAAGUGCAUAUGAAACUAUGAGACUUGAGUAUGGGAGAGGGAAGCGGAAUUCCUGGUGUAGCGGUGAAAUGCGUAGAUAUCAG
Molecule: ribosomal RNA, 546 nt
Filed under: uncultured organism
Description: bacterial SSU rRNA
Rfam family: Bacterial small subunit ribosomal RNA
Source: RNAcentral